GUGCCAGCCGCCGCGGUAAUACGAAGGGGGCUAGCGUUGCUCGGAAUUACUGGGCGUAAAGGGCGCGUAGGCGGCUCUGUUAGUCAGGCGUGAAAUUCCUGGGCUCAACCUGGGGACUGCGCUUGAUACGGCGGGGCUUGAGGACGGAAGAGGCUCGCGGAAUUCCCAGUGUAGAGGUGAAAUUCGUAGAUAUUGGGAAGAACACCGGUGGCGAAGGCGGCGAGCUGGUCCGUUACUGACGCUGAGGCGCGACAGCGUGGGGAGCAAACAGGAUUAGAAACCCCUGUAGUCC
This 292-nucleotide ribosomal RNA is filed under the name uncultured bacterium. RNAcentral's name for it is "partial 16S ribosomal RNA". It matches the Rfam family "Bacterial small subunit ribosomal RNA", at positions 505 to 796 of the family's 1533-position model. The record is from RNAcentral.